Molecule: long non-coding RNA, 578 nt
Organism: Cheilinus undulatus (humphead wrasse)
Lineage: Eukaryota; Metazoa; Chordata; Actinopteri; Labriformes; Labridae
Exons: 3
Source: RefSeq, a predicted model, not a curated record
CUGUGCUCACCGAGUGCUUUUCUAGUCUUUAUCUGUAUUUAUCCCUGCAAGAUGCUGAUUGUCAGCAAAAAAAGGGCUGUCCCACUCCUCUUUCUACCACCCCAGGCCCUUGCAGUCUCAUGCAGUCAAUUACAUUCAAGAUCCUGCUGCUUGGGGCUUGGCAGGCUGCGCCACUAAAGAAAUGGUUCCAGGAGGGUAAGGCAUGCCACCAGAUGGAACAAAACCAUGGUGCAGACUAAGCACAGUGCUCACGGAUGCUGUCAGCUCCCCUGACUUCACGAGGCAACUUUCCCGCAGGCUGGAAGAAUUCUUGAUAUAAUUAUCACUGGUCACUUGGUCUAAGGGGAAACCCUGGCAAGGUCACAGUGCUUCAGGAAGAUCAGAUGAUACUCUCACAGUUGCUCUGCUGCUGACAGGUGGAUGACUGCAGAUCACUCAGCACUGGAGAAAGUUGAAACUCACAGACGCUGUAGCGGCUCGUCUGUCUGCAGAAAGAGGAAGCUGACACCAGAGAGCUCAGUGUUUGAGAUAAGGCUGCACUUUAACAGCAAUAAACUGAGGCGUAUCAAUAAGGUUGA